Molecule: ribosomal RNA, 827 nt
Filed under: Bradyrhizobium yuanmingense
Lineage: Bacteria; Pseudomonadati; Pseudomonadota; Alphaproteobacteria; Hyphomicrobiales; Nitrobacteraceae
Description: bacterial SSU rRNA
Rfam family: Bacterial small subunit ribosomal RNA
Source: RNAcentral
GCCACACAUGCAGUCGAGCGGGCGUAGCAAUACGUCAGCGGCAGACGCGGUGAGUAACGCGUGGGAACGUACCUUUUGGUUCGGAACAACACAGGGAAACUUGUGCUAAUACCGGAUAAGCCCUUACGGGGAAAGAUUUAUCGCCGAAAGAUCGGCCCGCGUCUGAUUAGCUAGUUGGUGAGGUAAUGGCUCACCAAGGCGACGAUCAGUAGCUGGUCUGAGAGGAUGAUCAGCCACAUUGGGACUGAGACACGGCCCAAACUCCUACGGGAGGCAGCAGUGGGGAAUAUUGGACAAUGGGGGCAACCCUGAUCCAGCCAUGCCGCGUGAGUGAUGAAGGCCCUAGGGUUGUAAAGCUCUUUUGUGCGGGAAGAUAAUGACGGUACCGCAAGAAUAAGCCCCGGCUAACUUCGUGCCAGCAGCCGCGGUAAUACGAAGGGGGCUAGCGUUGCUCGGAAUCACUGGGCGUAAAGGGUGCGUAGGCGGGUCUUUAAGUCAGGGGUGAAAUCCUGGAGCUCAACUCCAGAACUGCCUUUGAUACUGAAGAUCUUGAGUCCGGGAGAGGUGAGUGGAACUGCGAGUGUAGAGGUGAAAUUCGUAGAUAUUCGCAAGAACACCAGUGGCGAAGGCGGCUCACUGGCCCGGUACUGACGCUGAGGCACGAAAGCGUGGGGAGCAAACAGGAUUAGAUACCCUGGUAGUCCACGCCGUACACGAUGAAUGCCAGCCGUUAGUGUGUUUACUCACUAGUGGCGCAGCUGACGCUUUAAGCAUUCCGCCUGGGGAGUACGGUCGCAAGAUUAAAACUCAUAGGAAUUGACUGGGGC